UCGCUUGUUGGUGAGGUAAUGGCUCACCAAGGCGACGACGGGUAGCCGGCCUGAGAGGGCGACCGGCCACACUGGGACUGAGACACGGCCCAGACUCCUACGGGAGGCAGCAGUGGGGAAUAUUGCACAAUGGGCGAAAGCCUGAUGCAGCGACGCCGCGUGAGGGAUGACGGCCUUCGGGUUGUAAACCUCUUUCAGCAGGGAAGAAGCGAAAGUGACGGUACCUGCAGAAGAAGCGCCGGCUAACUACGUGCCAGCAGCCGCGGUAAUACGUAGGGCGCGGAGCGUUGUCCGGAAUUAUUGGGCGUAAAGAGCUCGUAGGCGGCUUGUCGCGUCGGUUGUGAAAGCCCGGGGCUUAACCCCGGGUCUGCAGUCGAUACGGGCAGGCUAGAGUUCGGUAGGGGAGAUCGGAAUUCCUGGUGUAGCGGUGAAAUGCGCAGAUAUCAGGAGGAACACCGGUGGCGAAGGCGGAUCUCUGGGCCGAUACUGACGCUGAGGAGCGAAAGCGUGGGGAGCGAACAGGAUUAGAUACCCUGGUAGUCCACGCCGUAAACGGUGGGCACUAGGUGUGGGCGACAUUCCACGUCGUCCGUGCCGCAGCUAACGCAUUAAGUGCCCCCGCCUGGGGAGUACGGCCCGCAAGGCUAAAACUUCAAAGGAAUUUGACGGGGGCCCGC
RNAcentral lists this ribosomal RNA (677 nucleotides) under uncultured Actinomycetes bacterium. RNAcentral's name for it is "bacterial SSU rRNA". It matches the Rfam family "Bacterial small subunit ribosomal RNA", at positions 242 to 924 of the family's 1533-position model. The record is from RNAcentral. Lineage: Bacteria; Bacillati; Actinomycetota; Actinomycetes.